GUUGUAUAGUCAAGUAAUUAAGUGCAUGUGGUGGAUGCCUUGGCAGUCAGAGGCGAUGAAAGACGUGAUAGCCUGCGAAAAGCUCCGGGGAGGCGGCAAAUAUCCUGUGAUCCGGAGAUGUCUGAAUGGGGAAACCCACUUACCAUAAGGUAGGUAUU
Molecule: ribosomal RNA, 158 nt
Filed under: Acinetobacter pseudolwoffii
Lineage: Bacteria; Pseudomonadati; Pseudomonadota; Gammaproteobacteria; Moraxellales; Moraxellaceae
Description: partial 23S ribosomal RNA
Rfam family: Bacterial large subunit ribosomal RNA
Source: RNAcentral